Molecule: long non-coding RNA, 400 nt
Filed under: Mytilus galloprovincialis (Mediterranean mussel)
Lineage: Eukaryota; Metazoa; Mollusca; Bivalvia; Mytilida; Mytilidae
Source: RNAcentral
CUGUAAAACACUUUUCAAAGUUAUCCCUUGUUCAUCAUAACUUUUAAGUUGUGAUAUCAUCCAUGAAAAAUGAUCGAAGUGACAUGAAAACUGUAGCCACUAAUUUCUCGUCAAACGGUUUUUGACGAAUACUAAAUGUCUUUCCUACUUCGUUAUGGCAUAAUAGGGUAUGUUCUAGAAUUAAAUCAGCAGUGGCUUCCCGGGGGCAGAAAUAGCACAUAUAACCACCUACAAUAAAAUAAUUUAAACAAUAUUAACUAUAUUUACUAUUUACUUCAGGAUAAAUUAUUUUUUGUUUACUGUCUUAAUAAGAAAUCUGAUGUAAGGUGACACAUGCGUGUCGCCUGACAAUUAUUGUCAUGUAUCAUAAUUUCCAUCGCUCAUUCACAUAUUUUGUGGC